Chenopodium quinoa (quinoa) is the source of this 2216-nucleotide RNA transcript. It is a transcript of the gene named protein FAR1-RELATED SEQUENCE 1-like, with no coding region annotated. The record is from RefSeq and is a predicted model, not a curated record. Lineage: Eukaryota; Viridiplantae; Streptophyta; Magnoliopsida; Caryophyllales; Amaranthaceae. The transcript is spliced from 7 exons.
GGAAGUUGUCCCUUGUUGAUUUACUUGGUGUAACGAAUCUUUUCCCACUGUAUCCAAAAUUCAAAUUUAAUCUACACUCUUUAAAAAGUGAGAAGAUCAGCAGAACUGUUCCUUAUGAACAGUAGGGCAGUGUGCGAACGGUUUUGUCCUUGUCUUGGGAUGUUAUUUGCGGUCUUGCCAUUGGAUCUUGAAUUCCUUUGCUUUCUACCUCAGCGGUCAGUCCUACUUUUCCUGAAUUCACUUGCCAUCACUCAUUCAUUUCCGUUUUCUCUCUCAUCCUACUCUCUUUCUCUUUCCUCCUCUGCUAUUGUCCAGCCAUUUUUCCACUUUUGCUUUUAAGAUUUUUCGCUCUUCCAUUGAAGGUCAAUCUGAGUUUUCCAUUGAAGCGUGUUCUGAGCUUCCUUUCUUCCAUUAUUGCUGAGUUCAGCGUAGUGUUUCUGGUGAAGGUGUUGGUGAGUUCGAUGUAUCUGCAUUCAAGGAAUCUUAUUAAAAAAUCAAGCAGAACGUAGAAUGAAACUGCAAUUUUGCCGCCAGACAAUUACAAAUGGCAUGAGAUAAAGAAUCUCAGACUCUUCCAGGUUUUGAUUCCUAUUCUGAAACCAACUAGAUACACUGGUGCUGAUCCUUAUAAAAUGUAAGGUACACAGAAUUCAAACCCAAAUUGAAGGAGGUCAUAUGUGAGAGUUUUAUGACUGAUGAGUUUGAAACGCGUUGGUGUGCGCUAAUGUCUCAGUACAAGCUUGAGAAAAAUGAAUGGCUUACUAGGCUGUUUAAAGAGAGACAUAUGUGGGUGCCGGCCUAUAUGAAGGAGUAUUUUUGGUCCAGUAUGAAGACUACGCAAAGGGUUGAGAGCAUUAAUAGCUUUUUUUGACGGGUUUCUUACUCGACAUACAAAGCUGUUUGAAUUCCCUCACAAGUAUCGUAGGGCCAUGGAUAAGCGGAUACGUGAUGAAACCAAUGCAGAUGCUUACUGUUCAAAGUACUUGAGGAGGUUAGUGAGUGGUUUCAAGACGGAGAAGGUCUUUCAAAAGCUACGGACACAAAAUUUCAAGAAGUCCAGACAGAAUGUUCUUCGAGGAUGAUGUAUGUGUAUGAUAGAGGUGAGCGAGUAAUUUCUGACAAUAUAAUUGAGUACACUCUUGAGGACCGAGUGUGGCUUGUUCCACCUGGUAAGAGUGAGGAGGUAAUUACUGAUCGGCAUAGGUAUUAUUGUGUUACCUUCAACACCGAAACAACGGAAGUAUGUUGUAAUUGCAGGAAAAUUGAAACACAUGGUAUUAUGUGUAAACACACCAUCAGUAUAUUAGAUCGGAAUUUUGUGCUUGAUGUGCCUGAGAGAUAUAUUGUAAGCCGGUGGCAAAAGGACAUAAUGCGCAAACAUACAAGGGUGAAGGUAACUGCUGAUGAUCCAUCCGAAGUUGUUCAUGUGAAACGGUUCAAUAUGCUAUUGAAAGUUGCUGAGCCAUUGUGUGAAGAGGCGGCCAUGGUGAAUGAUGAGACGGUACAAAUGGUCAUAGACUCAAUUAAUCAGUUGCGGUUGGAUGUUGAUAAGUGUAGGAAGACGAAGCUUGAGCAAACCAUAGCUCUAAAUUUCCCGAAUGAUUUUCAGGGAUCUGCGAGUGCAGGGUUCAGUGGUACAACCUUGGCUGUUCAGAAACCAACUCAUGUAGAAAAUGUAAAGGAAAUUGGUGCUACUGUUAAGGACCCGGUUCCACCGAAGAAGCCUCGAGGAACCAAAUGAUGCUGAAAACGAAGGAAUGAUGGUGCAGACUCACCUGUAGCCCCUGAUGUGGCUGCUCCCGAUAUACUUCCAGUUAAACGGAAGCAGGCACAAUUGGUGGAUUGCGACACUAUUGGUCUGGGUGACAAAGUGACUUUUGAUAAUGAGUUACUAAUGAGGAAAAGCAUGGAAUGGUGCACGGGUCCAUCUGAAUUCUGAAAUGCUUUAGAUGUGCUCUAGAAAUGACUUAGGUGUUCUUGACCAGGUUAGGUGUACGUUUUAGGACAUGCGUUUUUGGUGGAUGUAGCUUAACCAAGUAUUAGGCUAUGUUUAAGCUUAUAUUCGGAUCUCUACAUAGUAACUCAAUAUUUGUGGUUAAUUUGCCCUUAGUUAUUUUAACUAAAAGCUUGUAAUUUUUAUGGAUCACCAUUAGUACUGGAUUACAGAUUUAAGUUUAAGCUUUAAGUUAAUUUAUAUUACUAAAUUAUUUCAGUCA